CGUACACUCCUACGGGAGGCAGCAGUGGGGAAUAUUGCACAAUGGGCGCAAGCCUGAUGCAGCCAUGCCGCGUGUAUGAAGAAGGCCUUCGGGUUGUAAAGUACUUUCAGCGGGGAGGAAGGCGAUAAGGUUAAUAACCUUGUCGAUUGACGUUACCCGCAGAAGAAGCACCGGCUAACUCCGUGCCAGCAGCCGCGGUAAUACGGAGGGUGCAAGCGUUAAUCGGAAUUACUGGGCGUAAAGCGCACGCAGGCGGUCUGUCAAGUCGGAUGUGAAAUCCCCGGGCUCAACCUGGGAACUGCAUUCGAAACUGGCAGGCUAGAGUCUUGUAGAGGGGGGUAGAAUUCCAGGUGUAGCGGUGAAAUGCGUAGAGAUCUGGAGGAAUACCGGUGGCGAAGGCGGCCCCCUGGACAAAGACUGACGCUCAGGUGCGAAAGCGUGGGGAGCAAACAGGAUUAGAUACCCCAGUAGUCCC
This 475-nucleotide ribosomal RNA is filed under the name uncultured organism. RNAcentral's name for it is "partial 16S ribosomal RNA". It matches the Rfam family "Bacterial small subunit ribosomal RNA", at positions 330 to 797 of the family's 1533-position model. The record is from RNAcentral.